UUCUCAAGGUUAGCUCCCUUAACUCACGGA
This 30-nucleotide non-coding RNA is filed under the name Homo sapiens (human). The record is from RNAcentral. Lineage: Eukaryota; Metazoa; Chordata; Mammalia; Primates; Hominidae.